This 118-nucleotide small RNA is filed under the name Rhizobium sp. Kim5. RNAcentral describes it as "miscellaneous other RNA". The record is from RNAcentral. Lineage: Bacteria; Pseudomonadati; Pseudomonadota; Alphaproteobacteria; Hyphomicrobiales; Rhizobiaceae.
UGGAAAUCCGGCGCGGUCGCGCCACUGUGACCAGCGUGUCGAAAGCUCUUCGCGCUGGAAGUCAGACCCUGCCGCACAAGCACUCUUUCGACUGAACGCGUCAUUCCGGAGGAAUACA